RNAcentral lists this ribosomal RNA (433 nucleotides) under uncultured bacterium. RNAcentral's name for it is "partial 16S ribosomal RNA". It matches the Rfam family "Bacterial small subunit ribosomal RNA", at positions 29 to 507 of the family's 1533-position model. The record is from RNAcentral.
AACGAACGCUGGCGGCAUGCCUAACACAUGCAAGUCGAACGAGACCUUCGGGUCUAGUGGCGCACGGGUGCGUAACGCGUGGGAACCUGCCCUUAGGUUCGGAAUAACUCCCCGAAAGGGGUGCUAAUACCGGAUAAUGUCUUCGGACCAAAGAUUUAUCGCCUUUGGAUGGGCCCGCGUUGGAUUAGCUAGUUGGUAGGGUAAAAGCCUACCAAGGCGACGAUCCAUAGCUGGUCUGAGAGGAUGAUCAGCCACACUGGGACUGAGACACGGCCCAGACUCCUACGGGAGGCAGCAGUGGGGAAUAUUGGACGAUGGGCGAAAGCCUGAUCCAGCAAUGCCGCGUGAGUGAUGAAGGCCUUAGGGUUGUAAAUCUCUUUUACCCGGGAUGAUAAUGACAGUACCGGGAGAAUAAGCUCCGGCUAACUCCGUG